This 545-nucleotide ribosomal RNA is filed under the name uncultured Glomus. RNAcentral describes it as "SSU rRNA". It matches the Rfam family "Eukaryotic small subunit ribosomal RNA", at positions 553 to 1099 of the family's 1831-position model. The record is from RNAcentral. Lineage: Eukaryota; Fungi; Glomeromycota; Glomeromycetes; Glomerales; Glomeraceae.
GGGCAAGUCUGGUGCCAGCAGCCGCGGUAAUUCCAGCUCCAAUAGCGUAUAUUAAAGUUGUUGCAGUUAAAAAGCUCGUAGUUGAACCUCGGGAUCAAUGGGUCGGUCAUGCCAAUGGUAUGUACUGGCCUCAUUGGUUCUCACCUUCUAAGGAACCAUGAUGUCAUUCAUUUGAUGUUGUGGGGAAUUAGGACUGUUACCUUGAAAAAAUUAGAGUGUUUAAAGCAGGCUAACGCUUGAAUACAUUAGCAUGGAAUAAUGAAAUAGGACACCGCAUUCUAUUUUGUUGGUUUCUAGGAUCGAUGUAAUGAUUAAUAGGGAUAGUUGGGGGCAUUAGUAUUCAAUUGUCAGAGGUGAAAUUCUUGGAUUUAUUGAAGACUAACUACUGCGAAAGCAUUUGCCAAGGAUGUUUUCAUUAAUCAAGAACGAAAGUUAGGGGAUCGAAGACGAUCAGAUACCGUCGUAGUCUUAACCAUAAACUAUGCCGACUAGGGAUCGGAUGAUGUUGAUUUUUUAAUGACUCAUUCGGCGCCUUACGGGAAACA